RNAcentral lists this transfer RNA (129 nucleotides) under Fonsecaea erecta. It matches the Rfam family "tRNA". From Rfam's summary of the family: Transfer RNA (tRNA) molecules are approximately 80 nucleotides in length. Their secondary structure includes four short double-helical elements and three loops (D, anti-codon, and T loops). Further hydrogen bonds mediate the characteristic L-shaped molecular structure. tRNAs have two regions of fundamental functional importance: the anti-codon, which is responsible for specific mRNA codon recognition, and the 3' end, to which the tRNAs corresponding amino acid is attached (by aminoacyl-tRNA synthetases). tRNAs cope with the degeneracy of the genetic code in two manners: having more than one tRNA (with a specific anti-codon) for a particular amino acid; and 'wobble' base-pairing, i.e. permitting non-standard base-pairing at the 3rd anti-codon position. Lineage: Eukaryota; Fungi; Ascomycota; Eurotiomycetes; Chaetothyriales; Herpotrichiellaceae. The record is from Rfam by way of RNAcentral.
GCCCUGGUGGCACAAUUGGUCAGCGCGGUAGGUUUUUCCAUCACUGGUCGCCCAAUAUUACUCAGUUCUAACAAUCUCUCAGUGAGACUUUUAAUCUCAAGGUUGAGAGUUCGAGCCUCUCCCAGGGCG